AAAUUACCCAAUCCUAAUACAGGGAGGUAGUGACAAGAAAUAACAAUACAGGACUUUUUGGUUUUGUAAUUGGAAUGAGUUAAGUAUAAACCCCUUUACAAGUAUCAAUUGGAGGGCAAGUCUGGUGCCAGCAGCCGCGGUAAUUCCAGCUCCAAUAGCGUAUAUUAAAGUUGUUGCAGUUAAAAAGCUCGUAGUUGGAUUUCUGUUAAUAAUUUAUAUAAAAUAUUUUGAUGAAUAUUUAUAUAAUAUUAACAUAAUUCAUAUUACUAUAUAUUUUAGUAUAUGAAAUUUUACUUUGAGAAAAUUAGAGUGCUUAAAACAGGCAUAUGCCUUGAAUACUCCAGCAUGGAAUAAUAUUUAAGAUUUUUAUCUUUCUUAUUGGUUCUAAGAUAAGAAUAAUGAUUAAUAGGG
Molecule: ribosomal RNA, 411 nt
Filed under: Cryptosporidium parvum
Lineage: Eukaryota; Apicomplexa; Conoidasida; Eucoccidiorida; Cryptosporidiidae
Description: SSU rRNA
Rfam family: Eukaryotic small subunit ribosomal RNA
Source: RNAcentral